Molecule: long non-coding RNA, 566 nt
Filed under: Hordeum vulgare
Lineage: Eukaryota; Viridiplantae; Streptophyta; Magnoliopsida; Poales; Poaceae
Description: long non-coding RNA (HVUL_LNC000383)
Source: RNAcentral
UUGCAUCAGUAAUUUUCCUAUGGCCAUGGGGCACUUAGGUUUGCAUGUAGCUCUUCUAGUGUGUUACACUGAGUAAGUGACGGCAAUAAGAGUAAUUGUUCUUCAGAUUCCUUCAUGUUGAUGGCCUCCCUCGGUUGGGAGUCGACGAGACGAGGAAUGGUGUCGAUCUUGAGCAUCUGGCUCGGUGUGAUUCCGUUUAUGCACGGUCGCCGCAUCCUGUGGAAGGGAUGUCGCAGCCGCAUAUUUUUCUUAUCCAAUUUCAUAUUCGUCGAUGAAGCUGAGCCAAAUACGGCUCUGUCGAGGAACUUGUGUGCUCUAUGCCCUCCCCCUUAUGUUUGGCCAGAGUUGGGAUCAUCAUGUGGAUCUUCUCCAUGUCGACUUCUCUAGGACGGCAUGAUCGUUCGCGUCUGGUCUACAUCAAUGACUACAUUUGCAUGGCUUCUAUAAGAUUGUGGGUUUCAACAAGGUUAGUGUCGAUAAGACGGAAGCCUAGAGGUGGCAACUAUCGUUGCUCACUGUGCGCCAUCGAGGGAUGUUGAAGGACAUGCAUGUACUUUUUCAAGAUA